CAGUAGCCGCGGUAAAACGUAGGUGGCAAGCGUUGUCCGGAAUUAUUGGGCGUAAAGGGCGCGUAGGCGGACUGAUAAGUCAGGGGUGAAAUCCCAAGGCUCAACCUUGGAACUGCCUUUGAUACUGAAGAUCUUGAGUUCGGGAGAGGUGAGUGGAACUGCGAGUGUAGAGGUGAAAUUCGUAGAUAUUCGCAAGAACACCAGUGGCGAAGGCGGCUCACUGGCCCGAUACUGACGCUGAGGCACGAAAGCGUGGGGAGCAAACAGGAUUAGAUACCCGUGUAGUCCCUGUCUCUUAUAC
This 301-nucleotide ribosomal RNA is filed under the name uncultured bacterium. RNAcentral's name for it is "partial 16S ribosomal RNA". It matches the Rfam family "Bacterial small subunit ribosomal RNA", at positions 509 to 807 of the family's 1533-position model. The record is from RNAcentral.